CACGUAGGGGGCAAGCGUUGUCCGGAUUUAUUGGGCGUAAAGAGCGUGUAGGCGGUCCGGUAAGUCAGCUGUGAAAGUCAAGGGCUCAACCCUUGAAAGCCGGUUGAUACUGUCGGGCUAGAGUCCGGAAGAGGCGAGUGGAAUUCCCGGUGUAGCGGUGAAAUGCGCAGAUAUCGUAAGGAAGACCAGUGGCGAAGGCGGGUCUCUGGACAGUUCCUGACGCUGAGGCACGAAGGUCAGGGGAGCAAACGGG
Molecule: ribosomal RNA, 253 nt
Filed under: uncultured bacterium
Lineage: Bacteria
Description: partial 16S ribosomal RNA
Rfam family: Bacterial small subunit ribosomal RNA
Source: RNAcentral